This 721-nucleotide ribosomal RNA is filed under the name uncultured Planctomycetota bacterium. RNAcentral describes it as "bacterial SSU rRNA". It matches the Rfam family "Bacterial small subunit ribosomal RNA", at positions 564 to 1274 of the family's 1533-position model. Lineage: Bacteria; Pseudomonadati; Planctomycetota. The record is from RNAcentral.
UUAGCACGUAGGUGGGUUUGUAAGUCAGACGUGAAAGCCUUCUGUUCAACGGAAGAAUUGCAUCUGAAACUACAAACCUUGAGUGUAGGAGGGGAGAAUGGAACUUCUGGUGGAGCGGUGAAAUGCGUAGAUAUCAGAAGGAACGCCGGCGGCGAAAGCGAUUCUCUGGCCUAUUACUGACACUCAGUGUGCGAAAGCUAGGGGAGCAAACGGGAUUAGAUACCCCGGUAGUCCUAGCCGUAAACGAUGGGCACUAAGUAGAGGGAAUUACCGAUGUUCUCUCUGCCGUAGCUAACGCAUUAAGUGCCCCGCCUGGGGAGUACGGCCGCAAGGCUAAAACUCAAAAGAAUUGACGGGGGCUCGCACAAGCGGUGGAGCAUGUGGCUUAAUUCGAUGCAACGCGAAAAACCUUACCGGGGCUUGACAUGGUAGAAGUAGGAACCCGAAAGGGUAACGAACGGUAUCCAGUCCGUGACUAUCACAGGUGUUGCAUGGCUGUCGUCAGCUCGCGUCGUGAGACGUUGGGUUAAGCCCCCUAACGAGCGAAACCCUUGUUUUUAGUUGCCAGCGGGUUGUGCCGGGCACUCUAGAAAGACUGCCGUCGUCAAGACGGAGGAAGGUGGGGAUGACGUCAAGUCAUCAUGGCCCUUAUGCCCCGGGCUGCACACGUGCUACAAUGGCCGGUACAAACGGAAGCGAAGCCGAGAGGUGAAGCGAAUCC